UGAUGGAGUCAGCUCCUUUACUUGCACCUGUGCUGUUGGUUUUACUGGGGAUACGUGUGCAGAGAUCGACGAAUGUUCCAGCAGUCCUUGUAUGAAUGGAGGAGAUUGUGUUGAAGGAGUCAGCUCCUUUACUUGCACCUGUGCUGUUGGUUUUACUGGGGAUACGUGUGCAGAGAUCGACGAAUGUUCCAGCAGUCCUUGUA
Long non-coding RNA from Strongylocentrotus purpuratus (purple sea urchin), 203 nucleotides. RefSeq lists it as uncharacterized. The record is from RefSeq and is a predicted model, not a curated record. The transcript is spliced from 3 exons. Lineage: Eukaryota; Metazoa; Echinodermata; Echinoidea; Camarodonta; Strongylocentrotidae.